This 71-nucleotide transfer RNA is filed under the name Neotoma lepida (desert woodrat). It matches the Rfam family "tRNA". Rfam says of the family: Transfer RNA (tRNA) molecules are approximately 80 nucleotides in length. Their secondary structure includes four short double-helical elements and three loops (D, anti-codon, and T loops). Lineage: Eukaryota; Metazoa; Chordata; Mammalia; Rodentia; Cricetidae. The record is from Rfam by way of RNAcentral.
GGUGAGAUGGCUCAGAGGUUAAGAGCACUGACUGUUCUUCCAGAGGUCCUGGGUUCAAUUCCCAGCAACCA